AGAGAGAGCUUGCUUUCUCGAGCGAGUGGCGAACGGGUGAGUAACGCGUGAGGAACCUGCCUCAAAGAGGGGGACAACAGUUGGAAACGACUGCUAAUACCGCAUAAGCCCACGACCCGGCAUCGGGUAGAGGGAAAAGGAGCAAUCCGCUUUGAGAUGGCCUCGCGUCCGAUUAGCUAGUUGGUGAGGUAACGGCCCACCAAGGCGACGAUCGGUAGCCGGACUGAGAGGUUGAACGGCCACAUUGGGACUGAGACACGGCCCAGACUCCUACGGGAGGCAGCAGUGGGGAAUAUUGCACAAUGGGGGAAACCCUGAUGCAGCGACGCCGCGUGGAGGAAGAAGGUUUUCGGAUUGUAAACUCCUGUUGUUGAGGAAGAUAAUAACGGUACUCAACAAGGAAGUGACGGCUAACUACGUGCCAGCAGCCGCGGUAAAACGUAGGUCACAAGCGUUGUCCGGAAUUACUGGGUGUAAAGGGAGCGCAGGCGGGAAGACAAGUUGGAAGUGAAAUCCAUGGGCUCAACCCAUGAACUGCUUUCAAAACUGUUUUUCUUGAGUAGUGCAGAGGUAGGCGGAAUUCCCGGUGUAGCGGUGGAAUGCGUAGAUAUCGGGAGGAACACCAGUGGCGAAGGCGGCCUACUGGGCACCAACUGACGCUGAGGCUCGAAAGUGUGGGUAGCAAACAGGAUUAGAUACCCUGGUAGUCCACACUG
This 716-nucleotide ribosomal RNA is filed under the name uncultured bacterium. Its description in RNAcentral is "bacterial SSU rRNA". It matches the Rfam family "Bacterial small subunit ribosomal RNA", at positions 71 to 802 of the family's 1533-position model. The record is from RNAcentral.